CCCUGACAGUCGCAUGGUGCGGCUGACACUUGCCACGACAGGAGAUUCUCAUG
This 53-nucleotide non-coding RNA is filed under the name unclassified sequences. RNAcentral describes it as "Mu-gpT-DE RNA". It matches the Rfam family "Mu-gpT-DE RNA". The record is from Rfam by way of RNAcentral.